AGAUUGAACGCUGGCGACAUGCCUUACACAUGCAAGUCGAACGGUAGAGUAGCAAUACUUGAGAGUGGCGAACGGGUGAGUAAUAUAUCGGAACGUGCCCAGUCGUGGGGGAUAACGUAGAGAAAUUUACGCUAAUACCGCAUACGAUCUAAGGAUGAAAGCGGGGGACCGUAAGGCCUCGCGCGAUUGGAGCGGCUGAUAUCAGAUUAGGUUGUUGGUGAGGUAAAAGCCCACCAAGCCGACGAUCUGUAGCUGGUUUGAGAGAACGACCAGCCACACUGGGACUGAGACACGGCCCAGACUCCUACGGGAGGCAGCAGUGGGGAAUUUGGACAAUGGGCGAAAGCCUGAUCCAGCAAUGCCGCGUGCAGGAAGAAGGCCUUCGGGUUGUAAACUGCUUUGUACGGAACGAAACGGUCUGCUUUAAUACAGUGGCUAAUGACGGUAACCGUAAAGAAUAAGACACCGGCUAACUACGUGACCAGCAGCCGC
RNAcentral lists this ribosomal RNA (492 nucleotides) under uncultured soil bacterium. RNAcentral describes it as "bacterial SSU rRNA". It matches the Rfam family "Bacterial small subunit ribosomal RNA", at positions 26 to 518 of the family's 1533-position model. The record is from RNAcentral.